Anguilla anguilla (European eel) is the source of this 404-nucleotide long non-coding RNA. RefSeq lists it as uncharacterized. The record is from RefSeq and is a predicted model, not a curated record. Lineage: Eukaryota; Metazoa; Chordata; Actinopteri; Anguilliformes; Anguillidae. The transcript has 3 exons.
ACCUGUAGUUGCAGGGGAGUUCCAGCUUAGGCAACAGAGGGCGUAAUUAGGCAUUAUUGGUGACACCUGAGCUGUUGCCUUUAAAAGCUGAGAGGAUCUGGUCUUUUGGUCUCUCCUUCCUUCCUCUACCACGGACGACUCAAUAUGGUUUCUUCUGCGAAAGACAACAUCCUUUACUGACUCCUACUCAACCAUCACCACCCACACUACUGACCUACAUCACACACUCUACACACCUCAUGUAUUUUACACCGAGCGGAGCAGAUGCUGAGACGGAAGAGCAAAGACAUAAUUCACAAAAAUGCUUCUAGCACAAACCAAAUGUCUCCCCAUGGGACAUUUUACUGACACCAGCCAAUCCUUCACCUACCCGAGCCAAUCGAAAUCUCACAUACACACGCAAA